RNAcentral lists this ribosomal RNA (459 nucleotides) under uncultured Desulfobulbus sp. Its description in RNAcentral is "bacterial SSU rRNA". It matches the Rfam family "Bacterial small subunit ribosomal RNA", at positions 925 to 1382 of the family's 1533-position model. Lineage: Bacteria; Pseudomonadati; Thermodesulfobacteriota; Desulfobulbia; Desulfobulbales; Desulfobulbaceae. The record is from RNAcentral.
ACAAGCGGUGGAGCAUGUGGUUUAAUUCGACGCAACGCGAAGAACCUUACCUGGGCUUGACAUCCCGAUCGUACGAUAUGGAAACAUAUUGGUCAGUUCGGCUGGAUCGGAGACAGGUGCUGCAUGGCCGUCGUCAGCUCGUGUCGUGAGAUGUUGGGUUAAGUCCCGCAACGAGCGCAACCCUUGCCUUUAGUUGCCAGCAGUUCGGCUGGGCACUCUAAAGGGACUGCCGGUGUUAAACCGGAGGAAGUGGGGAUGACGUCAAGUCCUCAUGGCCUUUAUGACCAGGGCUACACACGUACUACAAUGGCCGAUACAAAGGGCAGCGACACUGCGAGGUGAAGCCAAUCCCGUAAAAUCGGUCUCAGUCCGGAUUGGAGUCUGCAACUCGACUCCAUGAAGUUGGAAUCGCUAGUAAUCGUGGAUCAGCAUGCCACGGUGAAUACGUUCCCGGGCCUU